RNAcentral lists this ribosomal RNA (250 nucleotides) under uncultured bacterium. RNAcentral describes it as "partial 16S ribosomal RNA". It matches the Rfam family "Bacterial small subunit ribosomal RNA", at positions 524 to 772 of the family's 1533-position model. The record is from RNAcentral.
GACGUAGGGGGCGAGCGUUGUCCGGAAUCAUUGGGCGUAAAGGGCUCCUAGGCGGUUCAGUAAGUCGACUGUGAAAAUCCAAGGCUCAACCUUGGGACGCCAGUCGAUACUGCUGUGACUCGAGUUCGGUAGAGGAGUGUGGAAUUCCUGGUGUAGCGGUGAAAUGCGCAGAUAUUAGGAGGAACACCAACGGCGAAGGCAGCACUCUGGGCCGAUACUGACGCUGAAGAGCGAAAGCAUGGGGAGCAAA